GUGGGUGAUACGGAUUUUGGGUGAGAAGUAACUGGUUCUGGGGAUUUCACUCGUUUUGGAGCCUUACUGGUUUCUGGAGAUUUCACUCGAGGCUCUGGGGAUUUGACUCUUGGUGGUGAUGUCACAGCCUUUUCAGUAGCCCUGGCCUUUUGAACAGUCAGAGUAAACUGUGCUUCUUGCUUCCCUUCACUGUUUUCUACCACCACGCUGUAGUUGCCCUCAUCAGAAGCCUGGACUGAAGAGAUCUCGAAGGUCGAUUUGUACUUUGUGGUGGUCACUUGGUGGCGGGCAGAGGUACUUAUCACUUGUCCUCCACGCAGCCAGAUCACAGUGGGUACCGGCUCACCAUCUGUGUCGCAAGAAAACCUUGCGGACUCGCCUUCAUACACGGUUAUGGACCUUGGCUUUGUUAGAAUUCUUGCGGCCAGAGUCAUCUUGAUCUUUCUGUGUGUGGAUUUUUCUUCCAGCGACUUUUCUUCUACUGCAGCGCUUUUCAUUUCUGCAGAGGCGUGGUGUUCAUAUGCUAAGAGACUUUCCCUUGUCUCUGUCAUCUGUGACUUCACUUCCCUGACCGAAGAAGAAGCUUCCAUCUCAGAUGUUUUCUUAAAUGAUGAAACCGCAUACUCCUCUGUUCUUGUUAGCUCAGGGAAGACAGACCGGGGGACCUCUUCGUCUCUGCGUCGGGAAGCAUAGGUGGUGUAAUCCCCGCCUGUUACAUCCAAGGUCGCGUAGUCUGAAGCCUCACCUUUGUAGUUGG
This 757-nucleotide long non-coding RNA is filed under the name Lynx pardinus (Iberian lynx). Lineage: Eukaryota; Metazoa; Chordata; Mammalia; Carnivora; Felidae. The record is from RNAcentral.